Molecule: long non-coding RNA, 407 nt
Organism: Phascolarctos cinereus (koala)
Lineage: Eukaryota; Metazoa; Chordata; Mammalia; Diprotodontia; Phascolarctidae
Source: Ensembl
UGGGGCAGCUUGAGAUCGUUGUAGAGAGCAUAAGUCAAUGAAGGGUGGAAUGAAGAAAUGAAGAGCAAUAAUGAGGUGUCAGGGGUUUUAUGGAAAGCAGCCAUCACCAAGUGCUCUAUGAGAAAACCUUCUAGACUAUGCCAACAGAUCUCUUGGGUUCCAAGGAAAAUUAUUGGGGCUCCACAGGUGCUGGCAGAAAACACCAACAACAGUCCUAUGAUACCAACUCCAACACUUGUGUGAAGAUUUCCUCGACAACAUAUAACUCCAACUGGUAACUUGGAGAAGCCCAAAUUCCAUUUGGUUGUUCACCAUCAAUACAUGUUUUUGUACUGGAAAGACAUUAUUCUCGGGAACCAUAGGACACCAUCUGUCCCAUAAGACUGUUCAAUCUUUCCACCUUGAAG